This 253-nucleotide ribosomal RNA is filed under the name uncultured bacterium. RNAcentral describes it as "partial 16S ribosomal RNA". It matches the Rfam family "Bacterial small subunit ribosomal RNA", at positions 524 to 776 of the family's 1533-position model. The record is from RNAcentral.
GACAGAGGUGCCGAGCGUUAGGCGGAAUCACUGGGCUUAAAGCGUGUGUAGGCGGAUCUGUAAGUACCUUGUGAAAUCCCACGGCUCAACCGUGGAACUGCUUGGUAUACUGCGGGUCUUGAGCCACCUAGGGGCAAGUGGAACAAGCGGUGGAGCGGUGAAAUGCGUAGAUAUCGGGAGGAACACCAGUGGCGAAGGCGACUACCUGGCCUGUUCUUGACGCUGAGGCGCGAAAGCUAGGGGAGCAAACGGG